AAGAUCAAAUAGCAUCGGGCUAUUGACUCGCAGUGGUCACAAGAGGCAUGCAUCUUCGAAGGGAGAGCCCAGCAAAGACUCGGCUGAGACAUCAAGAAAUGCUUGCAUGUAACUUCCUAAUGCACUCAGUAGGUCUUAUGUCCAUGACCUUGCAUUGUUAUAGUUGCAAGGUCUUAUGUCCAUGACCUCGCAUUGUUAUAGUUGCAAGGUUAUGUAUGCAUGCUUACGGAUGUUUUCAUGGCUUAAUGGCGCCGCUAGGAAAUGAC
RNAcentral lists this long non-coding RNA (266 nucleotides) under Zea mays. RNAcentral's name for it is "long non-coding RNA (ZMAY_LNC002989)". Lineage: Eukaryota; Viridiplantae; Streptophyta; Magnoliopsida; Poales; Poaceae. The record is from RNAcentral.